UAAAAUUAUGUUCUUUUUUUAUGGUUCCAAUGGCGCUCACUGGAUGAUUCAGAUGUUUAGAAAUGCCAGCGACAACCAUUGCUAUCAGUAUGUUUCAUAACAUUAAGACUUUUCUGGGAAGGUGUCUUUGCUUUCACCAAUCGUAGCACUCUGUGCAAUACUUUGGUAAUGAGAACCCAUCAUUUCAUAUUAAACCAGCUGAUAAUUUGCAAAUAGUGGCAAUAAUGCUUUAUAAAUACUGACAGAUUUCAGCUGGUUUCUUGUCUUUUUAUGCCUUUUUGCCCAUCCCUUUCUUCAUGUGUUUAAUAUUUAUUUUACCUGUUGUAUUUUGUCAUUAUUUGUUUCUAACGCUGUUCUAAAUUCAGGCCCCUCCCUGUGUUAGCACCCCAUGUAAAGAAUGUGCUAAUAGCUUUAAAAUAAAUGUAUCUUAUUGCAGUAGAAUAAAUCCACCCUGAAAUUAUUUUUUAAAAAUUUCAAGCUUAAAUUUGAGCGCCUUUAUUCAAUGGGAGAAAUUUCCAAAAUUCUGAAAUAAUGGUGCCACACUUUUUGGCACUCAAGACAGCAACUGAAGACCAUUUAAUUAUUUGAUAGUUUAAUAUACAUUCUUUUACAGUUCAAUGAUUACAAAUUACUUUAUAAAUUGAUCCGUGUUUAAGAACUCUUAACUGGUACUCCCUGACUGACUUUUCAUGGUUUACAAAUAUGGUGUGACACAGAGGCCCUUUACUCUUAGCCACUCAGACAGAAAAACAUGCCAUUUAACUAAAGCAGGAGUUGGUUACAAGAAAACAGCUACUCACUGAACCUUGCCCAGUCAGAGCAAUAAAAAACAACUUAAACUCGACAAGCACCACUUGACGAGGACUCAAAUUUAUCUUGCCACCACACAAGAUAAGGCAGAUAAUAGAUUUCAAAAGCUCAAUGUUGUCUUAGGUUGACCAAAUCUUUAUAGGAACCAUUAGAUGCUAAUAUUUUCCAUAUAGAAGUUCUUCUGGAUGUAUGCCAAAAAAAAAACUUUUCUGUCCUACUACAAAUGCGAACAAGUGAAAUUUACUAACCUCUAGUGAGGAUUUAACUGGAAGCAAGUCUCCAUAACAACCAUUUUUCUUUACACAUUUUUAUCAGGCAUGCCAAUAAAUAUAAAGGAGCACUGUAAAAUAUAUAUGGUCUGGACAUUGUGAUAAAAACAGGUACCUCCCCCACUCCAUCCCCACUCCAGUUGAUAUCCUUUUACACCCAAAUAGGUGUAGGUUUAUGAUGGUGUGUGUACAGUUUAGCAAAAACAUUCUUCCUACUGCCAGUAGAUUUAGAUGUUAAAUGAUUUGUGUUGUUUGUUUGUUUGUUUGUUCAUUACAGUAAAUAAGGCAGGCAGAUUUACUUUCUCUUAAUAGAUAGUAAAUCAAGGUAAAAUGAGUAUUAAUUUAGAAAUAGAAAAUGGCAUGUCAGAAAUUAUGUAUACCCUUUUUAAUAAUCAAUGGAAACAUCUUCAUUGCCAUUACAGUACUUAAACCUUAUUGCUGAUUAGCUCGCUGCAUGUUUUUGUCAGGAUCUGUGUGCUGUUGUUGUUGUUGCUCUGUGCUUGGCCUCUAGGUGGCUCCGGGGUCGUCAGGAGUGAUGGCAGGUGUUCCAUGUCCCACUAAUCAUCCCUGGAAGGUAUUUAUGAUGGUUGCCGCCAGCAGUUCAGCGCCAGUGUUGCCCUCAGUGACUGGAUUACUAUACCAGACCUAACCUUUGAAGAAUCCUAAUCUUCCUGGAUGUUUUGCUACUGGAGAAAGGGUUUCCUAGCCAUGAGGAUUGUAUUCGGCUUACCAACACUUUGCUUCCUAAGGGACUGCUGGCGGCCAAUCCGACGGAGCUUUUCCUGGAUCAACUACGAACCACCACAAGCAAAUCCUGUCCACCCUCCCACAUUAUAACAUCACCAGCCGAACCUCUGAGUCACCUUAAGUGAGUCCAAGUUCCUACCAGCUUCAUUCAUCUCAGUGUGCAGUUUCCAUUGCUGACUCGCCCCUCCUGGCGGAUCAAACUCAACCUUUUAGUGCACAGACUCUGCGAGCUCCUCGUCAUGCCUGGGCGGAAGAUGAAACGGUACCUCCAGCUGGAAGAGCGAGUGCUGUGUGGGCUUCCUGAAGUGGUGCAGCACUGGGUCAUUGAGAGCCGCAGUGCAUACUUGGGAACAGAGCAGCAAUCUGUGUUAUUUCAGCAGCAGCCUGUCGGAUGAAGGGCCCUUCCAUGGGCAUUAUGGAUUAAUCUUUGGCAGGAUCUCAGCUGGAUCAGCCCAAAAAUGGGAUGUUUAACCUCACAUGUAAUAGAACUUCUGUGAUAAAGCAGGAUAGAGAGGAUUGAAUGUGACCCACAUUGGGAUUGUGUUCUAAAUGUAUUACCUUUAUUGACUGUUUAUGAGGGUAUGUGCUGAAGGGUACAUUAUAUGCUCUGCCAAUCCACAAUGAUAUUCUAAAGAAGCCAUCGCAUCACCACUUAAAAAAAUAGAUGUUAGCUAAUUUUGAGCUACUGCACUAUUAUGGCUAUUAUUUUUUAAAUGCACCAAUCAGACACCCAGAUCAGAAUUAGCAAUGUUUUUUUGUUGUGUUUAAACAGUGAUUGGUUGGUUACUAUACUGAAAAUGUUGGUCCCUUGCCC
Long non-coding RNA from Girardinichthys multiradiatus, 2640 nucleotides. RefSeq lists it as uncharacterized. The transcript is spliced from 3 exons. NCBI's taxonomy places the organism in Eukaryota, Metazoa, Chordata, Actinopteri, Cyprinodontiformes, Goodeidae. The record is from RefSeq and is a predicted model, not a curated record.